GACGAACGCUGGCGGCGUGCUUAACACAUGCAAGUCGAACGGAAAGGCCCUGCUUUUGUGGGGUGCUCGAGUGGCGAACGGGUGAGUAACACGUGAGUAACCUGCCCUUGACUUUGGGAUAACUUCAGGAAACUGGGGCUAAUACCGGAUAGGAGCUCCUGCUGCAUGGUGGGGGUUGGAAAGUUUCGGCGGUUGGGGAUGGACUCGCGGCUUAUCAGCUUGUUGGUGGGGUAGUGGCUUACCAAGGGUUUGACGGGUAGCCGGCCUGAGAGGGUGACCGGCCACAUUGGGACUGAGAUACGGCCAAGCCUCCUACGGGAGGCAGCAGUGGGGAAUAUUGCACAAUGGGCGGAAGCCUGAUGCAGCAACGCCGCGUGCGGGAUGACGGCCUUCGGGUUGUAAACCGCUUUCGCCUGUGACGAAGCGUGAGUGACGGUAAUGGGUAAAGAAGCACCGGCUAACUACGUG
RNAcentral lists this ribosomal RNA (468 nucleotides) under uncultured bacterium. RNAcentral describes it as "partial 16S ribosomal RNA". It matches the Rfam family "Bacterial small subunit ribosomal RNA", at positions 28 to 507 of the family's 1533-position model. The record is from RNAcentral.